RNAcentral lists this ribosomal RNA (679 nucleotides) under Sarocladium spinificis. RNAcentral's name for it is "partial large subunit ribosomal RNA". It matches the Rfam family "Eukaryotic large subunit ribosomal RNA", at positions 76 to 784 of the family's 3401-position model. The record is from RNAcentral. Lineage: Eukaryota; Fungi; Ascomycota; Sordariomycetes; Hypocreales; Sarocladiaceae.
UGCCUCAGUAACGGCGAGUGAAGCGGCAACAGCUCAAAUUUGAAAUCUGGCCGCAAGGUCCGAGUUGUAAUUUGCAGAGGAUGCUUUUGGCGAGGUGCCUUCCGAGUUCCCUGGAACGGGACGCCAUAGAGGGUGAGAGCCCCGUACGGUAGGACCACCGAGCCUUUGUAAAGCUCCUUCGACGAGUCGAGUAGUUUGGGAAUGCUGCUCUAAAUGGGAGGUGUACGUCUUCUAAAGCUAAAUACCGGCCAGAGACCGAUAGCGCACAAGUAGAGUGAUCGAAAGAUGAAAAGCACUUUGAAAAGAGGGUUAAAAAGUACGUGAAAUUGUUGAAAGGGAAGCAUUCAUGACCAGACUUGGGCUUGGUUGAACAUCCGGCGUUCUCGCCGGUGCACUCUGCCAGUCCAGGCCAGCAUCAGUUUGCCCCGGGGGACAAAGGCGGUGGGAAUGUGGCUCUCUCCGGGGAGUGUUAUAGCCCGCCGUGUAAUGCCCUGGGGCGGACUGAGGAACGCGCUUCGGCUCGGAUGCUGGCGUAAUGGUCAUCAAUGACCCGUCUUGAAACACGGACCAAGGAGUCGUCUUCGUAUGCGAGUGUUCGGGUGUCAAACCCCUACGCGAAAUGAAAGUGAACGUAGGUGAGAGCUUCGGCGCAUCACCGACCGAUCCUGAUGUUCUCGGA